This is a long non-coding RNA of Daphnia pulicaria, 432 nucleotides long. RefSeq lists it as uncharacterized. Lineage: Eukaryota; Metazoa; Arthropoda; Branchiopoda; Diplostraca; Daphniidae. The record is from RefSeq and is a predicted model, not a curated record. The transcript has 3 exons.
AACCACAUCAUAGUUUAUUUGUUAUAACUCUAUACCAGUCUACUAAUAAUUAUUUUGUUGCCACAUUUCGUAGGUUUUCUGCUUUGUCAUUGGACUCCACACGUUAUUGGCACAAGCAGGGAGGCAAGCUAUAACCAAAUCACAUUGCCUUACUUCAUUGCCCCAAGGCCAUCUACAACACAGCAAAACAUCAUCAUUCUUCAUCGGCUUCACUCUAUAAGGCUGAAAGUGACUCUGGCUCUCCAUGGAGAUGUAGCACUCGUAAUGAAGCAAGAUGAAUGCAAUCGCCUGAUUAACAACAGCAGGAUCAAAGCGUUGAUAGCUACGACGAGGCGGGGAAAGACGCUGCCCAUUAGUCAAUUUGUUAAAGUCACUCAACCCUUUGACGCAACGUCAGAGCAUGCUGUGCUACAUCACGAAAAUUUGUUAAGG